AUAUAACCAAAAUAUAAGAUUUUUCUUAAAAAAGAUAAAAUGGGAGUUUUAAACCUAGCCUUAGUUGGCUUUCUUCUUAGCAUUCAUGCUUCAUUUGUGAGCGGUACUUAUUCUACAAGUUCCAUGAUAGAUGGCAUUAAAGUAGCCGUGGAUUUUAAUGCUAAUCAAACAUUAGAAAGAACAGCAAGAGGUAUUCAGAAUAAAGAUCCAAAUGAUAACAAAUCUGAAAAUUUAGAUAAACCUAAAAAAAAAGAUAAGGUUGAGAAGAAAAGUGAGUCUAGAAAUAAAAAGCAAAAAA
Eurytemora carolleeae is the source of this 298-nucleotide long non-coding RNA. RefSeq lists it as uncharacterized. The transcript is spliced from 3 exons. Lineage: Eukaryota; Metazoa; Arthropoda; Copepoda; Calanoida; Temoridae. The record is from RefSeq and is a predicted model, not a curated record.